AAAAGUCGUAACAAGGUCUCCGUUGGUGAACCAGCGGAGGGAUCAUUACAGAGUGUAAAAACUCCCAAACCCAUGUGAACCUACCAUUGUUGCCUCGGUGGGCGCCUCCGGACGCCUGCCGACGGUCUUCUAAAACUCUUUGUAUUUUGAAUCUCUGAGUCAACUUUUAAAUAAGUAAAAACUUUCAACAACGGAUCUCUUGGUUCUGGCAUCGAUGAAGAACGCAGCGAAAUGCGAUAAGUAAUGUGAAUUGCAGAAUUCAGUGAAUCAUCGAAUCUUUGAACGCACAUUGCGCCCACUAGUAUUCUGGUGGGCAUGCCUGUUCGAGCGUCAUUAAGUCCACUCAAGCUUAGUUGCUUGGAAUUGGGAGACUACUCUACCUGUAGCUCCUCAAAGACAGCGGCGGAGUUGUGAUAUCCUCUGAGCUUAGUAAUUAUUUCUAGCUUUUGAAGAGUCGCAGUUCCCGCCGUAAAACACCCAUCAUUUUUAAUGGUUGACCUCGGAUCAGGUAGGAAUACCCGCUGAACUUAAG
RNAcentral lists this ribosomal RNA (532 nucleotides) under Dactylaria fragilis. Its description in RNAcentral is "eukaryotic LSU rRNA". The stretch from base 180 to 333 matches the Rfam family "5.8S ribosomal RNA". Lineage: Eukaryota; Fungi; Ascomycota; Leotiomycetes; Helotiales. The record is from RNAcentral.